Molecule: long non-coding RNA, 1521 nt
Organism: Zophobas morio
Lineage: Eukaryota; Metazoa; Arthropoda; Insecta; Coleoptera; Tenebrionidae
Exons: 3
Source: RefSeq, a predicted model, not a curated record
UUCCUUAAACAAGAAGUCUCGGGAGGACAUACUAUUUUUAAGAAUUUAAAAAAACUUCCAACUCAAGUGUGUCCAUCCUAUUAAUUUGCUUACUGUUGAAUAAUCCACAAAAAGGCCAUUAAAGGAAAUCCACCAUUCCAUGUCUUCGAGCGUUGAUUGUUUCACUCAUCGUUGGUAAUAAUUUGCACCAUAUAAAUUCUACUUGGGUUGCGCAAUAACAGUGUCCAUGAUCAAGUGUUAGCAAAAUUUGGUCAGUUUUCCAAAGUGGAAUUUUUUUCAUUAAGACACAGUGUUUCCUGCACAAAAUCUGUAUAGAUUAUGUGUCCAAACUGAUGCAACUAUGAAACAUGUCUAUGCUUCGUACGAAAAGUACAACAUUAAAAAUUGUAAGACAGGUACGGGUAAACACCUUAGGGGAAACUGUUAAUAGUGCAUGCAAGUGAGUUACGCCUUGAACAAAGAAACACCCAAGGUCGUGGACAAAUUUGUCUUCUUUUUUGUUUGUAUUUAAGCAUGUUCGAACAAUAAGUAAAUUUAGUAUUAGCAAUGUAAAAAUCAUUAAUUUUCAAAAAUGUAUUUGUUUUAUUAUUGUUAUUAUUACAGUUAUUAUUUUGUUUACGUAUUUUUCUAAUUUAGUUUACUAUUGUUUAUCGUUGCACUAUAAUUGCGAACUUUCUUGUUCGACGACAAAGUGUACUGUUAUUUUAUUUGAUAUGUUGUUACCAAGACUUGUUAACACUGCAGUUUUGUACAGAAACUUUGACGUAUUGAAGAACUAUAACUAUGAAAUGUUAACAAGUUAAGAUGGCGAUGGAAGAAGUGCUUUCCACUUACUUUACUCCUAGGGACGAAGACAUUAGCGCCUAAAUGUAGCGAGGUCCAAAAUAAGAAAUAUUUUUUCGUAUUUUGUUUUUGUCUUGGAUAAAAAACUCACUUCUUCGAAAAGCAACCCUAGUGAGAAGUACACUAUCGAUGAUGGCGACGAAAUUUUUGAAUGGAAAUUAGAAACAAGAGAUUAUUUAACUGGAGUGGUUUACUUAUUGAAUAAAUGUGGCACUUCAGAGCCGGAUGGGCUAUUUUAAAUGACUCCUUUGUCGUAUGCCAGAGUUAGUGAAAGUUUAGGAGCGGAACUGGAAUUGUUGCAGUCAGGAAUGUUGCAACCAGAGCAGGAAUACAAUCAAUGUGAUAGAAUUAAGUCUGUAUGGUUAUGACAUGACAAUGCGAUUCAAAUGGUUGUUACUAAGCAAUUACCAACUUUUUGCCAGGAGGUAAACUUUAGUACUAUAUCUGGUUGCACCCCUCUUGCUCUAACGUCGUCAAGAGGGCACACCAGCAGUCGCUCAGUUUUUGUUACAAUGCCAAGCCGAAGUCAAUCACCCUGAUAAACAUGGUCAAACCCCACUUCACUCAGCUUGUUCCAACGACCACGAAUAGACUGUCAAAUGCUUAAUUAAGUUCGGAGCUGCACUCAAUCACCCUGAUAUUGUCGGCUGUACACCACUUUACGUAGCUUGUUUGAAU